GAGAGUUAAACAGUACGUGAAAUUGUUGAAAGGGAAACGAUUGAAGCCAGUCGUACCUUCGGGUAAUCAGCCUUUCGGGUGCGAUUCUGUGGAGUUUGAGGAGCUUAACACCUUCAUGCUUUGCAUAUUCGUGCUCUUGGGUGUACUUGCCCGUGUGGUUGGUUAACAUCAAUUUUGGUGGUCAUAAAAUGACUGGAGGAAUGUAGCUUCGAUCUUGUAUUGAAGUGUUAUAGCCUUCGGUAGAUGUGAUGAUCGAGAUUGAGGAUUGCAACGGAUACCCUUCGGGGCUACCUGUCUGAUCUCUGAUCGUUGCUCUGGUGCCGAAAGCUUGCUUACGGUUAUCAAAGUCGAUGGUCAAUAGGUUAGAACGGGUUAAAUUCGUUAAGGAUGUUGACGUAAUGGCUUUAAACGA
RNAcentral lists this ribosomal RNA (412 nucleotides) under uncultured Rhizophagus. RNAcentral's name for it is "partial 28S ribosomal RNA". The record is from RNAcentral. Lineage: Eukaryota; Fungi; Glomeromycota; Glomeromycetes; Glomerales; Glomeraceae.